Triticum aestivum (bread wheat) is the source of this 113-nucleotide non-coding RNA. NCBI's taxonomy places the organism in Eukaryota, Viridiplantae, Streptophyta, Magnoliopsida, Poales, Poaceae. The record is from Rfam.
CUGCAUGAGUUGCAUUUUUCUGUAAAUAUGGACAAAGAGUAAUGUUGAUGUAAUUUUAGUGAGUAUUAUUUGAGUUGCAAGUGCUCAUAAAGUAAAAGUGCCAUCACACCUAC